RNAcentral lists this ribosomal RNA (253 nucleotides) under uncultured bacterium. Its description in RNAcentral is "partial 16S ribosomal RNA". It matches the Rfam family "Bacterial small subunit ribosomal RNA", at positions 524 to 776 of the family's 1533-position model. The record is from RNAcentral.
UACAGAGGUCUCAAGCGUUGUUCGGAUUCAUUGGGCGUAAAGGGUGCGUAGGUGGCGCGGUAAGUCGGGUGUGAAAUUUCGGAGCUUAACUCCGAAACUGCAUUCGAUACUGUUCGACUCGAAGGCAGGAGAGGGAAGUGGAAUUCCCGGUGUAGUGGUGAAAUGCGUAGAGAUCGGAAAGAACACCAACGGCGAAAGCACUCUGCUGGGCCGACACUGACACUGAGAGACGAAAGCUAGGGGAGCGAAUGGG